GGGUGGAGAGCCAGGCGCUUCCCGGGCAAACUGAAUGAGAAAAUUGAAGCAAUUACCAGAAAAUAGAUGUGAAAACCUGUUAUCACUCAAAUUGAAAGCUCCAUCCUUGGUGUUGGCUAAUAUAGCAUGUGCUAUGUGAACAUGUAGACAUCAUUUUACUCUUCUGCGUCCCAAAAAGCAUGCCGAUGUGAGAAGUCUUCACAGAUCUGCUCCUACACUUGUGAUCUCUCCACCAAAAGAAGAAGAGGAUGAAGAAGAGAAAU
This is a long non-coding RNA of Onychomys torridus (southern grasshopper mouse), 263 nucleotides long. RefSeq lists it as uncharacterized. Lineage: Eukaryota; Metazoa; Chordata; Mammalia; Rodentia; Cricetidae. The transcript is spliced from 3 exons. The record is from RefSeq and is a predicted model, not a curated record.